Molecule: long non-coding RNA, 434 nt
Filed under: Homo sapiens (human)
Lineage: Eukaryota; Metazoa; Chordata; Mammalia; Primates; Hominidae
Description: HSALNT0326024
Source: RNAcentral
AGUAGACCCAACCUGAGCUAGAAGGAUCUUAGAAACCACCCGUUAAUCCAACCCGUUACUUCAAAGGAGAGAUGAUUUCAGCUACAGAAGUCAAGGUCAAAUCCAAGACCAAAUGUUUCUGUGCUUCAUCCAUUGCUCCAUGGAAAGAGUUUAUAAUAGUUUUUCAACCUUGGAACUGAUGUUUGGACCAGAUUAUUGUGCAUGCUAUUCUCCAUCCUAUACACCGUCCACCAGCAUCCUGGCUUCCGCCCAUGAGAGACCAUCAGCACUCCUACAGCUGUGACAAUAAAAAAUGUCUCCAGACAUUGACAAAUGUCCCCGUACAGACAAAAUAGCCCCUAAUGAACAACCACUACUUAAUACUAAUCAAAUGCUACAUUUAUGUAUUUUUAUGUUGGGGUUUACCUAACCAUUUAGUUGAUUAAAAGUUUUUC